GAUGAAGAACGUAGCGAAAUGCGAUAAGUAAUGUGAAUUGCAGAAUUCAGUGAAUCAUCGAAUCUUUGAACGCACAUUGCGCCCGCCAGUAUUCUGGCGGGCAUGCCUGUUCGAGCGUCAUUUCAACCAUCAAGCCCCAGGCUUGUGUUGGGGACCUGCGGCUGCCGCAGGCCCUGAAAACCAGUGGCGGGCUCGCUGUCACACCGGGCGUAGUAGAUUUUAUCUCGCUCAGGGCGUGCUGUGGGUUCCGGCCGUUAAAAAGCCUUUUUUACCCAAGGUUGACCUCGGAUCAGGUAGGAAUACCCGCUGAACUUAAGCAUAUCAAUAAGCGGAGG
This 335-nucleotide unclassified non-coding RNA is filed under the name soil metagenome. Its description in RNAcentral is "partial contains 5.8S ribosomal RNA, internal transcribed spacer 2, and large subunit ribosomal RNA". The stretch from base 1 to 120 matches the Rfam family "5.8S ribosomal RNA", at positions 35 to 154 of the family's 154-position model. The record is from RNAcentral.